This is an RNA transcript of Triplophysa dalaica, 3491 nucleotides long. RefSeq lists it as uncharacterized. The record is from RefSeq and is a predicted model, not a curated record. The transcript has 6 exons. Lineage: Eukaryota; Metazoa; Chordata; Actinopteri; Cypriniformes; Nemacheilidae.
UAAUUAAUCAGCCUAUACAAAAUACAUUUGUAGUGAGCUUUUACGUUUUAAGUGUCUUUGCAAAUGACAUUUAAAACUAAGACAAAGUUAAGAAAAUCUAAGUUGUAAAACUAAUACUGGCACAUAGAGGAAUUUCGUGUCACAAAGCUUUCAAGUAUCCCAAUACCGCAAAAGUAUUACUUAACCCUUUACACUAAAAUGUGUUUUCAAAGACGAAAUAGACAAAGUUCUCUCACAACAAUUAAACUACUCGCGGAAACGCGAAACAUGACUGAGGGCAUAUACGUGUGCGCGCAUAGCUGCAUAUUCCACUCUAAUAGGAAUCACUGACCGCUUUCCUGAGGAAAUUAUUUUUACUUUACUGGUCAAUGUAUUUAAGCUAAACGUAUAAACCUAAAUGUAAAUAACGUUGUGCUUAAAAAUCUGAAAAAAUCUAGUUUACCUAGUGCAGUAGGAAGAAGAAGAUCGAUUUCACUACUUCAAAUUAAACAACUGCCACUUUCACAUGAAACCCACUGAACUAACUUAUCAUGAAGUGAACUCCCUUUCAUGUACAUGUAACAUUAAGCUACAACAUCUGUCCCACGGCUUCCGAUUUAUUCUAGUCACUCGCUCUUUCCGUUAACGUCACAUUGUGGUAAUGGGGCAAAUUCGCACGGAUGAACAGAAAACAAUUCGUUCCAUAGUUACACCUAACAUGGUGACGUUACUUGAAAAGAUAUAAACAAUUUUGUCUGAAAAGCGUCGCUUCACAGACUUGGCUUCGAGCAAGAGACCUUCGCACACGUCAAGUGCUUAUAGACGGACUUGACAACCUCUCCUCAAUCACGGCACUUUAUCUUGUACAAAACUGGACGCGCACUCACAAAUACCGUGGCUCACUUUGAUUUUCUGCGCUCGUGGAAUGCAUAACUGGGUGGGGCUAGACGUGUCUCUCCUACAAAAACUCGUCUCAUUGGCUGAUGGAACAGUAAAAGUGAGCUGUUAGUUUUCGCAGAUCUGGUGAAACCACAGCAUGUGUUAAACAGCCAUAAAUAUUAAAAUAAACAUACUUAACAGAUGUAUACUUUAUCCCAGUUUUUCCCAAUCCUGGGCCUGUUUCAAUAUGCUUCCAAUUGUUGGAGCACAUACAUAUUGCAACUCCUAAAUCAUAUAAAUCUGUGAAUUUAAUUAAAAUAAUUAUUCUUUUUUCCAGAGUCAAUUGGCAUCUGAUUGUUCAGCUACCUAUACCCCAAAGGCUCUUUUAGGAGCCCUUUCACAGUACGUCUUUGACUUUUUUAUACCUGUAUGCACCAAAGGCUCUCUUAAGAGCCCAUUCACAAAGCGUCUUUGGCUUUUUACGACACCAACGUUUUCCCACUGAAGACGACAAGGGGCAAGGCCUUGUUGUAGAGUAAUGGAUUCCAAAUCUAAGAGGCAGCGAUACACAAGGCAGUGGAAAUAUGCACGAAGAUCAUUGGAUGAAGGUCCUGUGGAGAAGGAACGAUUAGAUCAUCCAUUAACACCUCAAGAAGGAUAUGCUGAAAGAAUGGACAUUGAUGACGACAUCUCAAGUUCUGUUGGUACUGUUGAUGUUGGUUUCAUUGGGAGUUGCAGUUCUGGACAUGAGACUGUGAACAAUGCGCUCAAUGAGGAAACUGAGAGUGUAAAUGAAAUGGCCUCAACUUCACUCCCAACAUUUCUGCAAGAAUGGUCAAUAAAGCACAACAUCACGCAUAAUGCUUUAGAUGAUCUCCUGAAAGGACUUAAAAGAAAUGGACACCCAGAGCUCCCAUCCACAGCAAGGACAUUGCUGAAAACUCCAAGGACUGUUACAUCAUCACAAAAGUCAGGAAUGGAGUGUGUUCAUUUUAAUUUAAGAGAGAGCCUUAGUGACCAGUUAAAACGUUAUCCGACAGAGAUGAUUGAACGAGUGAGUACACUGGAGCUAUCAUUUAAUAUUGAUGGCCUACCCAUUUUUAAAAGCAGCAGGACACAUCUUUGGCCCAUCCUCUGUGCUAUUCACCUAAACCCCAUAAGUGUUUUUCCUGUCACACUGACACUUGGUCCCACCAAACCAAAAGAUCUGGAAUUUGCUGAGGAAGCCAUUAAUGACAUCCAAGAGCUCCUUGACAAUGGUCUAGAUGGAAAAAAUAUUAGGAUCAGAUGCUUUGUGUGUGAUGCACCAGCAAGAGCAAUGGUGAAGAAGAUCAAGCAGUAUUCUGGGUAUUUUGGAUGUGACAAAUGCACUCAGAAAGGCACAUGGAUCUCUGGGCGAGUAACUUACCCAGAGGUAGACAAUCUCACUCUGCGCACCAAUGAAGCAUUUCGUGCUGAAAUGGCCAUACGUCAGGAAAAUCAGACUGCGCCAGUGUCUCCCUUUUUGAGGCUCCCGUUGGAUAUGAUACAACAAUUUCCAAUUGACUACAUGCACCAAGCCUGCCUGGGUGUUAUGAAGAAGCUAAUCACAGAGUGGGUUAGAGGAGACAGAAAAGUAAGACUGUCUGCGGGGCAAAUAAAUGAGGUGACGCAAAGGCUGCUGUCACUCAGAAGCGCCAUUCCAAACUGUUUUGUCAGAAAACCUCGGAAUCUAGAGGACAUUGAUAGGUGGAAGGCAACAGAACUGCGCCAGUUUGCUGUUUAUACAGGCAAGAUCGUGUUGAAGGGCAUUUUGAGUGACCAUCUUUACGACCAUUUCAUGGCAUUCAGUGUUGCCUUGAGUCUUCUGCUUUGUCCAACAUUGGCAAGGGAACACAACAGAUACAGCAAAGAGCUAAUGCAAUACUUCAUUGCGAAAACAAAAGAACUGUAUGGCGACCACUUUCUUGUGUACAACAUCCAUUCAAUGGUACAUCUAUCGGAAGAGGCAAUGGCUUUUGGCAGCCUUGAUGCAUGCAGUGCAUUCCCAUUCGAGAAUUAUCUCGGUAAGCUAAAACGGCUUGUAAGGUCUGGAAAGCAGCCCCUUGUUCAAUUGGCCAAACGUCUCACAGAGAUGUCCACUUCUCCUCUCUCUGUGGUGACCUCCAGGUCGAAAACCAAAAGGCCAAAUAAUGCAUUUAUUCUUGCUGAAGGAAAGUGCUGUGAGGCCAUUGAAGAGAGAAAUGAAUCGGAUGAUUCAGGUACUCCGUUGCUGAUGUGCAGAUGUUUUGAAAGAUCUGAACCACUUUUCAGAGAUCCAGUAGACUCAAGAACACUUGGAUGUUUAAAAGUCCAAAGAAGAUAUUCAGUGAUGAAGCUCAUACCAGAACGCAAGCUGACAAGAAUGGCCAUAAUGAUAGAAAAAGGCCAGGAGUUGAUUUUCUUGGCAGUCCUGCAUGAACACUGAGCACAGGAAGAAUCUCUCUACCUCUCUCUCUCUCUCCACUGGGACAGUCUAUAGGCAUCACAUUUAAGGACAUCAUUGACAGCAAGGACAGACAUUAAGAUGGCCACAAAACAGUAUGCAGUGGUGGAAUUUUCAGACGACAAUUCGGUCGAAAUUGUCCCCACCUCAUGGUUGGAGGAGAGCAAAG